Molecule: ribosomal RNA, 112 nt
Filed under: Neogale vison (American mink)
Lineage: Eukaryota; Metazoa; Chordata; Mammalia; Carnivora; Mustelidae
Source: RNAcentral
GUCUAUGGCCGUACCACUUUGAAAGCACCCGAUCUCAUCUGAUCUCAGAAGCUAAGCAGGGUCAGGCCUGGUUAGGUACUUGGAUGGGAGGAAAGUCUCCUUUUAGUAGAGC